RNAcentral lists this ribosomal RNA (533 nucleotides) under Bacillus sp. (in: firmicutes). RNAcentral describes it as "bacterial SSU rRNA". It matches the Rfam family "Bacterial small subunit ribosomal RNA", at positions 69 to 585 of the family's 1533-position model. The record is from RNAcentral. Lineage: Bacteria; Bacillati; Bacillota; Bacilli; Caryophanales; Bacillaceae.
AUUAAUGGGAGCUUGCUCCCGUUAAUUAGCGGCGGACGGGUGAGUAACACGUGGGCAACCUACCUGUAAGACUGGGAUAACUUCGGGAAACCGGAGCUAAUACCGGAUGACACUGAGGAACUCCUGUUCCUUAGUUGAAAGAUGGCUUCGGCUAUCACUUACAGAUGGGCCCGCGGCGCAUUAGCUAGUUGGUGAGGUAACGGCUCACCAAGGCGACGAUGCGUAGCCGACCUGAGAGGGUGAUCGGCCACACUGGGACUGAGACACGGCCCAGACUCCUACGGGAGGCAGCAGUAGGGAAUCUUCCGCAAUGGACGAAAGUCUGACGGAGCAACGCCGCGUGAGCGAUGAAGGCCUUCGGGUCGUAAAGCUCUGUUGUUAGGGAAGAACAAGUGCUAGUUAAAUAAGCUGGCACCUUGACGGUACCUAACCAGAAAGCCACGGCUAACUACGUGCCAGCAGCCGCGGUAAUACGUAGGUGGCAAGCGUUGUCCGGAAUUAUUGGGCGUAAAGCGCGCGCAGGCGGUUUCUUA